UCCAGCCUCUCAUUCCCAGUCUGUCUGUCCAUCUGGGGUUGCCCCAUCCCAGGGGCAGAAUCCGGCACUUCCUCUUGUUGAACUUCCCAUGGUUGGUGAUUCCCAGCCCUUGGAUCUGUCCAGGUCUCUGCAAUUUCACCAUGAGAUCCCAGAACUACACAGGCCAUGCUGCCUGGGGCGUGUUCCCAGGCAGAAAUCUGUUCUACAAACCAGACUUACGGGUCAGUACAAGGCAUGAGCAUGUCCUUUCACACUACCUGAAGUGUCCAAGUCUCCUCCUAUUUUGUUCUCCUGGUGAUUUAAUUGUAUUCAGUGGAGCUGUGCAGGGUUUGGUUCUGUCAACACUAACAGUGGAGCUACACGCAGUAAGUGUAUUUUUUAUUUUGACUUGCUUGAUUUAUUUACAUAUUAUUAUAGAGGUUUUUUUACAGUGCUGUAUAACAACUUUUAACACAUAACUGUCUCUGAAGAUCAGACAUUUCAUUUGAAAUUUCCUACAGAUGAAGUUUGUAGAUUAAGAGCAUAAAGGCACAAAAGACUGGUAAGAAUCUCAGCAUUAAAGCUAAUAUGUCUUACCAGAUGGCAGGAAUUUUAGACAGACUGUGAAAUAGGAAGUUCACACUUCCUAAUAUGAACAGGGCAUGAAAACAUGCAGUUCAACAGAGGGUGUAAUAACCAAUGCAGAAUAAAGGGGAAACUUUUCAGGAGUAGAAAAUAUGGAGUGUAGAUAUCCAUUGUGACAUUGUACAUUAAAAUUAUUUUCUUGAAGGUAUAAAUGCAAUAUUUAUCCCGAGUAUUCUAUUUUUAUUUUGUGAGUUCUAACUGUUAUGAAAGAUGGUAGUAUGAGCAACUAUUUAGUAAAGUCCUAUGUAAAUCAGCAUAGAAUAAAUGUAUUCAGUUAUAUUUAUGAUUUUCCCAUUGAUUUUACAUAUAUGUCAAAAGUGCUUUCCAAGACCUACAUUGAAUAGGAAGGGAAGGAAAUCAGUGCACUGUUUAAACAAAAAAUGUAACAAUAUUGUUUAAGAUAGGAAACCAGUUUUGAAAUGUAUUAGGAGUGCAACUGGAUGUCACAGGCUGUAGGAGGAAGAAAUCAUUAGCUUGGAAAAAAAGCAGCACUAGCACAAUAGCCAUGGGCAGAUGUUAAUGAGGAUAUGCCAAUCAGCAAGGUGUGGGAUAAGAUUAGGAGGAUGAAUGGUAGUAAUAAAAUCCCACAAGAGUGUGUUGUCUUGUUAAAGGAAAAAGCUAAUUUACAAGAGUUUGUUUCUGUUAAUCAGGUAGAGAUAUGUUUAGGAAAAGGAAAUGUGGGGAAAAUCAGGGUGAUUUUGGAAAACAGGCUUGAGCACUAAUGUCCUAUUGUAUCAGCAGUGAUUUUCCCUUUGUGGUUACUAAUUACUGUGAAUGCUGUCAGGACAGCACGUGGAAGUGCAGGGAGAACAGCAGGAGUGUUGCACUGAUGUUUGGGCUGUAUCUGUGAGUUGGGGGGAGCAGGAAUGGAAAUGCAGGGUUAGAUGGAGCAGUGUGGUACAGUUUGUACAGUAUGUCACAGCCCUCGUGGCUCCAAGCCUGACCCCUCUUGCUGCCUGGAUGUUUGACAAUGCAGGCAUACAUGGAGGCAAAUAGGACUUCUAAAAAUACAUUUCACAAAUCAUCCAGUCCAGCUGUCAGGGGGGGGAACAGUCCCUUUGUCCUGCAGCCCUGGACAACUAAAAUCCCAUUUGAGACAAAUGAAAUUUAGUUAUUUGCUGCCCGACAGGAAAAGCUGCUGACUUGUGCUUUAUAGGCCUCAACACACUGACCAACCAUUGUGUCCAACCUGAGGCUUAAAACACGAGCUGGCCUCUUGCCCAGUGGCUUUGUAAACACCACCAAAUGGCAAAAGCAGUGUGUGGGCAGAGCCCCCAGCCUGCUGUUUGGAACAAUUCCUGCCCGGUACCUCCACAGGGUCAGUCCCACUUUGGAAAGGAUGAACAUGACUGACUAUAUAUGGCCACCUAAAAAUAAAAAUAGGGACGAGCACCUUUUCUUGUCAGACAUAUCAGAGAUCCAGGUCACCUUAAAAAAUCCUAGGCUGCAAACCAUACUGGCUAUAGGGAAAAUAAAUAAAUAUAUAUAUAUAUGAAUCUCUUAGUCCUCCAUGGAUCCAGUUUUGAUGGAACCAAAUGGAGGCCGUUGACUCCAACUGACAUUGGAUGUGUCCCAUGACCUUCUGGUUUAUAUAUUUAGACUCCCCAUACUAAUCUUCUCUUCUACAGGUCUGAUGUCAUCACCAUUAUUAUAAGCAGAACUUGUCACUUGAUUGACAGCAAAUAACCUUUUCCAAAAAGUAGCCAAGGAGUAAGAAUGUUUUGUCAGGGUGACAUAUGAUCAUGGCUGCCUGCAGUCCAUUUUUGUUUGCAGGCAGUGGAAGAAUGUCAGAUAUUUAUAAGGUCAGUGUCCCUAGUCCAGAGAUGAAGGAGAUGUGUUUGUUUUUUAAUUGCUGUUCUGCUUAAAAAACCGAUUUCCAGUUGGGCUGAAAUGAAGGACUGGACUCAUUGACUGGACUGAAGUAAAUGUUUUACCUGUUGCAACCAGCUGGCUGGGCCCAGGAAUGGGGUGCUCUGACUGCACACACAAAGGGGUCACUGGCAGUUCAUAUUUUUGCUUUAGGAAGUCAAAUACUUAAAUAUAUAUAUAAUUUUUUUUUUACUGUCUGGUGAUUCAGAUGUCUGGGAUCUCAUUUUGCUUGUUUUCUUGAAAACUUUUCACGAAAGGGAAUCAGCUUGCAAAACCACAAAAAUGUACUUCUCAGCCAGCUGUGGUAAAAUGGUUUACAUGGCCAUCUCAGUACUGGAGAAGUUUUUGUAGUUAAAAAAUUUAUUCUGAUGAGCAGUAAGUGAUAAUGAAUUAUUAGCAAGGCAAUAGCAGUUGGCUUAGAAGUGUUCAAGGUAUGCAUCAAAUGUGGAGGUGCUGAGAGAGAAUAUUUGUAAGACAAAAGAACUGUUGACAUUUGGUCAUACUAGAACUUAGAUUAUUGUUUUAAAACAGACAUGCUGUAAAUGUGGGAAUGAGAACCAGACUGAAUUUUUUUUUACUUAGAAAAGAGUGUAGCAUUUAAGUAGAUGCCACUGUAAGGUUGUGACAAAGAGUAAAAUGUAGUUCUGUGUAGCUGACCCAGCUUAUUAAUAGCAUAUUGAGAACUUCUAAUGUUAUAGAGUCUAAAUACUCUUUAAGAAGAAGUGGAACAAAAUUUAGAAUUAAUUCUAGAACAUUUAUAAACAGGUAUAGAAAAAUAGUGUCCCUUCUACUAAGUGUUAGAAAUUAGGGGCUACCUGCCAAAUGAUGUUGUGCUUGUUUGACCUUGUCCAGCUGAUUGCAUUAAGGUGUUAUAUAUGUUUCAGAUAACAGAAUUUGGCUUUUUUGGUGUCUUAUAUUGGACAUGAAAUUCUUAUUUUAAUUUAUUUUAACUUACGUUUAUAUAAAUGCACCAAAAAACCCAUAUAUGUUUAUAAAUAUAUAUAAAUAUUUAAAGUACUUAGAAAGAAGCCUAAAUGAUAGUUUUAAAGAAUUUCCAUGUUCCUGCAACACAGGAUUGUUUCAGUGGGACUGGAUAGCAGCUGCUAUUGCAUUGCCUUAGUUUUUGUUAGGGCACUGUAACAAAGGCAACUAAAUUUCAAUUGCCUUAGUGGUGCUGUCACUACCUUUUGCCUGUAAAGAUUUUUUUGUAUUUUAGGAAACUGCCAAAUAAGGAGUAAUUUUGUAAUGGAGAACAUGGAAUUACGAAAGUAGGUUGAACAGAAGGGUAACAGAGAAACAUUCUCAGUCUGCAGAACGGGGAUUUUAAGGAGAGAUACUGGCAAAAGAAUCAGGCUCAUCUGAUCUGCUCAGGAAAAAAUGUCAGCCUGAAGGGAAGUGUCUUCUAGAACAAAAUCUACAUUUCCAGAGAACUUCCUUAAACUGAAACAAGCUGCAAGAUGGGCUCGUUUCUUAAAAUGUGAACUUGGAUGAGAUAUUCUUAUUAUGCUUUCACUGAUGCAAAUUCGUUAAAUAGCAAUAAAUCUUGAGAGAUUACGUUUAUAACAGAA
This is a long non-coding RNA of Neopelma chrysocephalum (saffron-crested tyrant-manakin), 4061 nucleotides long. RefSeq lists it as uncharacterized. The transcript has 2 exons. Lineage: Eukaryota; Metazoa; Chordata; Aves; Passeriformes; Pipridae. The record is from RefSeq and is a predicted model, not a curated record.